CGUAGGAGGCGAGCGUUAUCCGGAUUCACUGGGCGUAAAGCGCGUGCAGGUGGUUCGGUAAGUUGGGCGUGAAAUCUCCCGGCUCAACUGGGAGAGGUCGUUCAAUACUACCGAACUUGAGAGCAGAAGAGGAAGAUGGAAUUCCCGGUGUAGUGGUGAAAUGCGUAGAUAUCGGGAGGAGCACCAGUGGCGAAGGCGAUCUUCUGGUCUGUUUCUGACACUCAGACGCGACAGCUAGGGUAGUAAACGGGAUUAGAGACCCCGGUAAUCCUAGCCGUAAACGAUGUGAACUUGGCGUUGGUGGGUUAAACUCCAUCAGUGCCGAAGCAAACGCGAUAAGUUCACCGCCUGGGGACUACGGCCGCAAGGUUA
Molecule: ribosomal RNA, 372 nt
Filed under: uncultured organism
Description: bacterial SSU rRNA
Rfam family: Bacterial small subunit ribosomal RNA
Source: RNAcentral